This 364-nucleotide ribosomal RNA is filed under the name uncultured bacterium. RNAcentral's name for it is "bacterial SSU rRNA". It matches the Rfam family "Bacterial small subunit ribosomal RNA", at positions 29 to 418 of the family's 1533-position model. The record is from RNAcentral.
AACGAACGCUGGCGGCAGGCCUAAUACAUGCAAGUCGAACGCUCGUAGCAAUACGAGAGUGGCAGACGGGUGAGUAACACGUGGGAACCUUCCCUAUGGUUCGGAAUAGCUCAGGGAAACUUGAGGUAAUACCGGAUAAGCCCUUACGGGGAAAGAUUUAUCGCCAUUGGAUGGGCCCGCGUCGGAUUAGCUAGUUGGUGGGGUAACGGCCUACCAAGGCGACGAUCCGUAGCUGGUCUGAGAGGAUGAUCAGCCACACUGGGACUGAGACACGGCCCAGACUCCUACGGGAGGCAGCAGUAGGGAAUAUUGGACAAUGGGCGCAAGCCUGAUCCAGCCAUGCCGCGUGAGUGACGAAGGCCUU